Molecule: ribosomal RNA, 468 nt
Filed under: uncultured bacterium
Lineage: Bacteria
Description: partial 16S ribosomal RNA
Rfam family: Bacterial small subunit ribosomal RNA
Source: RNAcentral
GACGAACGCUGGCGGCGUGCUUAACACAUGCAAGUCGAACGGAAAGGCCCUGCUUUUGUGGGGUGCUCGAGUGGCGAACGGGUGAGUAACACGUGAGUAACCUGCCCUUGACUUUGGGAUAACUUCAGGAAACUGGGGCUAAUACCGGAUAGGAGCUCCUGCUGCAUGGUGGGGGUUGGAAAGUUUCGGCGGUUGGGGAUGGACUCGCGGCUUAUCAGCUUGUUGGUGGGGUAGUGGCUUACCAAGGCUUUGACGGGUAGCCGGCCUGAGAGGGUGACCGGCCACAUUGGGACUGAGAUACGGCCCAGACUCCUACGGGAGGCAGCAGUGGGGAAUAUUGCACAAUGGGCGGAAGCCUGAUGCAGCAACGCCGCGUGCGGGAUGACUUCCUUCGGGUUGUGAACCGCUUUCGCCUGUGACGAAGCGUUAGUGACGGUAAUGGGUAAAGAAGCACCGGCUAACUACGUG